This is a long non-coding RNA of Scleropages formosus (Asian bonytongue), 1952 nucleotides long. The record is from Ensembl. Lineage: Eukaryota; Metazoa; Chordata; Actinopteri; Osteoglossiformes; Osteoglossidae.
AUGAUCGCGCUUCUGCAGCAAUGUUUCUCUAUCAAUGUACCGUAUUCGGCCGCCGCCGCCGCUCACCCCGGUGCGGUGGGCCGGUUCCUCCUCCUCCUCCUCCUCCUAUCCGGCGCUCCGUCCCGCAGGUCCAGGCCGAGGAUCGGGCCUCCGUCCGUGGCGUCUCCGUGCGCGCUCCACCGCGUGUCCCCGGACUCCGUCCCCGAGCUCGGCUCCCUCCGGCCCCGCGAAAGCUGCAACGGGCCGGAUGCAGCGUGUGAGUGCUCUUCAUCCCUUCCGUCAGCUGUGUGCACACUCACUUUAAAGGUGUCUUCUGUCUUCAUUUGGCGGAAAGUUCCGGACUCCAUCACAGCAAAAACAAUGUCAUGGAUCAGCGAGUCUGUCUCUUCCCCCAAAGCACUUGUACUCUGAAUGAUGCUCACAUCCAGUUUUCUGCUAUUAAUCACCCACAAUCCAUCAAGCUGCAGCUUCCCUGAUGGGAAACAAACGCACACGUCCAGGCGCUGAAGACAAGAAAUCUCGUUUUUGUUAAAAUAUUUCUCACGCGAAACGUUCUCUCGUGACAAUUCUCCAAAAAAGCUGCACGAUGAAAAGACGGAGUGCUGGAAACGGACAUUUAUACUCUGCACAAACGUUAGAAGGGUGCUGCUCUGAACUGAUUUGGGACGGGGGGAGCAUUUUGGUUCAUUUCCAAAUGUAGAAAGCAAGAUUCGUGAAUGGAGAUUAAAAAUGUCUUUCUUUUUCUAAGGACGCAAGGCCAUCAUAUCCCCGCUGAUGUCUAAGAGAAAAUAUUGAGUGUUGAUUGAGAAACUACAGACUUUGUCCAUAAUGCUAUACCUUGUAGUAUGUACUAUGGGGGGGGGCUAAAGGAACAAAUAUGGGUAACAUCCAACUUGUAAUGUAUGUGCAUUCUUUGAUUUUUCUAAUAAGUAUAUGUAUAUAUAUGUAUGUAUAUACACACACAUAUACACUGUAUAUAUAUAUAAGUGGUGAAACCAUGGUAUUUUUCUCAUUUUCCACAUUUUCAGGCUUUAGAGCCAUUUCCACGGAACACAGUGGCCAUCAGUCUGGCACAACGGUCGUGGUCCCUGCUACGAUUUCAUACUCUUGCUACAGGAAGUGGUGAGAAGAGGAAGCAGUGGUCGGGGGAAGGGCGAUCGGCAGGGCUCCAGGCGGAUGACAGCAGCUGUUUACUGCCGCUGACAUGAUAUGUGUUUGUCAGCAUUUCGUCGGGUGACCAUCUGCUCGUUUGUUUCCUCCGCCGUCCCGCCGUUCACGUGGCCUCAGUUAGCGACCCUUCCCUUUUUGUGUCUUCGAGGAUAAGUCACACCCUCGUUGCUUAUCGGCCUCAUUGCUCACUUGCCCCCAUUGUGGCCCAGAAAUAAUUUUAUCUUCUUUAUAACAUGAAGUGCUCACGAGUCUGGGUGGACGUGAUAGUCCUUUUGUAACGCUUCGUACACAAAUUGACCAAAAUGAUCAUAUGCAUUUCUGAUUCCAGUGUCAGCAGUCAUGCAUUAACACAGGUGUUUUAUUGAUCUAUUAGAUGAGUAAAUCUAUGGAUGACAGCAGCGAGUGACACAUGACGCUGUAUAAAUAAUGUGUGGAACGUGGACUCUGCUGGGUGGCUGGAACACAUGGAGCGAUGGAGAGUUUUGUGACAGUUGAGGCGGAGGUGACGAAGAGGAAGCAUGGGUAAAAUACAGCUCCCCGAAGAGUCGGUCUGUGAACCCAAAGUGCACUUUGAGCAGUUGUUUAUUUGGAUGUGGACGGCAGAGGGCACCACGCUGCCGCAGUUAUCCCCGCUAAGGCUCGGCCCCCUCUGCAGUCACUGUAAAGGCUGCACAGUAUUUCUAAUAUUACCAUCAUAAGUAAGUCGUCUGCUUCUUAAAUAUGUCUACCGAGUUACAAAAACGACGACUAUGACUAUAAAAAUAAAACGUGCCAUUUCUUCA